GAAAGUGGACGUGGUGAUUUGGGCGACCGGCUUGCGGCCACGUAAAACAAACCGCUAAAAGGUCGAGGCCGCCGAGAC
RNAcentral lists this non-coding RNA (78 nucleotides) under Caenispirillum salinarum. RNAcentral also lists the same sequence under 1 other name. The record is from RNAcentral. Lineage: Bacteria; Pseudomonadati; Pseudomonadota; Alphaproteobacteria; Rhodospirillales; Novispirillaceae.